CAAUAGCGUAUAUUUAAGUUGUUGCAGUUAAAAAGCUCGUAGUCGGAUUUUGGCUGAGAAAGAUCGGUCCGCCGUUAGGUGUGCACUGAUUGGUCUCAGCUUCCUGGUGAGGAGGUGUGCUUCACGGCCACUUAGUCACCGUGGUUACUUUGAAAAAAUUAGAGUGUUCAAAGCGGGCUUACGCUUGAAUAUAUUAGCAUGGAAUAACACCAUAGGACUCCUGUCCUAUUUCGUUGGUCUCGGGACGGGAGUAAUGAUUAAGAGGAACAGUUGGGGGCAUUCGUAUUUCAUUGUCAGAGGUGAAAUUCUUGGAUUUAUGAAAGACGAACUUCUGCGAAAGCAUUUGCCAAGGAUGUUUUCAUUGA
Molecule: ribosomal RNA, 365 nt
Filed under: uncultured eukaryote
Lineage: Eukaryota
Description: partial 18S ribosomal RNA
Rfam family: Eukaryotic small subunit ribosomal RNA
Source: RNAcentral